Molecule: non-coding RNA, 4233 nt
Organism: Nelumbo nucifera (sacred lotus)
Lineage: Eukaryota; Viridiplantae; Streptophyta; Magnoliopsida; Proteales; Nelumbonaceae
Source: RefSeq, a predicted model, not a curated record
CCUCUAGCAAGUAGCAAUCAGCAAAGCAAAUAGCAAGAGCCAAGAACUCGUACUUGGCUCUGGCUGUAUCUGGCUUUGCGCUUUACAGAAGCUGGGACCCUGCGACCAUGGUCAGCCUUCAUGCACCGUAUGAUCAUAGAUCUUUUCAUCAUUGCAUGGUCGUCAUGAUCCUAUAUAGCACUUUCUCAGGCAAAACAAAAAAAAAAAAAAAGCAUCAUGAUCAAAGCACUUCAGCCAUCUAAUCGGAGUUUUCCUUUCCUUCAAUUGAACGAAAGAUAAAAGAAGGAAAUCAUUCAACUUCAACUAACGGAUAACUUUCAAGGAUCUUCUCAAUCAACCUGUAGUCUCUUUAGUUGGGUUUUCCGUUGACAAGGUUUUAUCAGAGAAGCGAACAGAUGAAAUUCAACUAAUUCACGUAAUUUUCUAACACUCCCAAUCACUAUGGAAGUGGAAGGUAUUACAUAAACUGUGCUAAGUGGUAGGUAUUAUUACUCAAACUCCAAUAGAAGCAGAUGUUUGUUGUUGAAUACAGACAGUGAACGUCCAAGUCCAACCCUAGAAUUAGAAAAAAGAGGACGACUUCCAUUUUCCAAUUCCAUACAAGAAGAUAUCAUAUUACUCAAAAUUCAAGUAGUAAUGAGCCUAAUAGUAAUGGCCUCGCCUCCUCUCUGUUUUUACUGGAGAUCAGAGGAGGAAAUUAAAAUUUAAAACCUCAAACUCAAUGGAAUAUCUUACAACGGUCAUGGUCGGUCACACGGGAAGUUUCUACAAUGUUGGAGAUCGAGCCCAGAGUCCACCAGCCUUGAUCAAAAAAGAAAACUGUUCAUAUAGCAAUUCAUUACAACUUUAGAAGGGCUUGGUCCAUUGGACUUCCGUCUCGUUGCUUCACACUACUACACUACAUGAGUCAUGACAUUCCAAUCUCAUCAACUUCCAGUCUUCCACUUCAAUGGACAAGGAUAUACUCAUUGAAGUCUGAAGAGGAAACUUCAAUGCUGUUAUUUUGCGCUAUAAUGAUGAGGCAGCCACUUUUAUCGAUAUUCAAUGCUACUGCUAUUGACUGCUCAGAAUCAUAAUCAUAGGCUUCCUUUGCAUCUAUUUGUUGCUGAAAGACUAGAAGCUCUGCAGAGAAAAAGACGGUGACUCUGGUAGGAUCACCUUGGAUUAGUCCGUGAUCUUUCUUUUUGGCAUUUUGUCGAUCAACCGAUUAGUCCGUGAAGCUGAUAUCUUUAUUGAAGAUUUGUAGUUUAUUAAAGGACUUUUGCUGCAAGUAUUUCCUUCUCUGUUUUGUUUAGUGGAGAAGUUAGGAAAAGGGUUGACAGGAGGAAGUUCUUAGAAAAGGAAAAGCACAUAUUGGCAUUAGUAGUGGCUUGAAUUUCUGGUAACAAGUGGGGACUUCUAAUAAAACAACUUCUAGAGAAAAAAAAAAAAAAAAAAGGUUGGUUUUGCACUACUACAAUAAAGACUUGUAUAGGUUGGGCUUAACACUGAAAAGUUCCUUCACAUGUCCCAAGUUUGGUUGAGCACCAAAAUUUUCAGCGUUUUGGUCUUUGCAUUGAUUUAUAUCAGAGGGCUUGUCAUUUUUAGGUCCAAGGGUGGCAAGUUUAUACUUAGAAUAGAAGACACCAGCCUGGAGAUAUCUACUAAAGCAUCUGAGGAAGUGAUACUACAAGAUCUAUCCUGGCUUGUUCUUAACUGGGAUGAAGAUAACGGUCCUACUAGCAACUUAACUAUGGUUCUGGAAGAUGAAAAUAGUAUUUGAUUUUUGAGCUGGAAAAAUCUGAUUUCAACUCUUCUCAGUUUCCAUGCAAUUUUGUUGUCCAUUAGUAUAUUGGCUUGGGAUUUUUGUCAACCAUUUGGAAUAAAAGAAAUGAUGGUUAGGAAUUAAAUAUGAGAAUCAAUUGAUGGUAGUAGGAGGGCAUGCUUGGAGUGGUAAUGUGUGACUUAGCUGUUAGCUUCACUUGUAAGAUGUUAAUUCACUAUUUCUGCCUGACUUGAUAAUUUUCUUAUAUGUUUUCAUGCAUAUUUAAAGUUCUGCAUAUGCUUCAAAUAACUGCAGUAUUUCUCUAUUCAACAUGUAGCAUAUGCUCAAAUCAGCAUAUUUGUUCAAGUGUGGACCCUCCAAAAGUAUUGGUUUACCUUAUAGUGAUUGAUUUGCAUUCCAUCAUUAUAGACAAGCAGUUGGCUGGCUAUAUGAAAAGUCUCCCAAAUCCCUUCAUUUUUGGCAUAAAAUAUUUUUCUAACAGUUGAAAGAGGCCCUAGGUAUACAAAAAGGAAAAUUCUUCAACUGGUAUGUUAAAUAGGUGAAUUGGAAGAACUUUGGGAGAAUAUGCUUUUCUAUUCUUCUUUCAAUGUAUAGAGUUUAUUAUAUGCACAUGCACAUAUGGUGCACACUUGUCUAUCCUUCAAACCAAACACAGCCUAAGUUAAAACAAUUGCCACCAGCAUACAGGAAAGCAGGCAAUAGCAAUGGAUGAAGAAGUACAAUAAGAGCCUGCAAAGGGAACACCAUACACUUACCGUUUUCAUGUUCCAAAAGAAGGGACUUCGAAAACUGAUGACCUUAUUCAUGGUGAAGUAAAUAUUAAACUUACUUCAUUGAAACAAGUUUGAUUACAACAGUUCUCUGUUUUCAUUAUUGAUGGUUCUUGCCCUUGUGAUGGAAUAAUGAUGGACAUUGUGUCAUUAAUAUAUUUUACAUGCUCAUCUGAUGCCUGUUGGCCCUCUUUUUACACUAGUUAGUAGUUGUACUUGCUGAGCUGUUUUCACUACCACUUGCAGUUGUUAUAAAAUCCUGGACUGGUAAGCAUGAGAAUGUGGAUUGCAGGGGUCUUGAGAGGGGUGGAGUGGGAUAUAGACCUACCCUUCAGCAUGAAGUGGCCUCUCUCAGGCUCAAACCCGCAUUUUCACACUUGUUAGCCUGAAAUGUUACUAUUGCAUCAAUCAAUAGCCCCUUUUGCAUACAGUUAUAUAUUUCUAUUUUGUAUAUCCUGUUAAUUUUGUUUCUUUUAAGAUCAGUUGGAACUUAGACACACUUGGAGACUUUGCAAUUAUGAGAAGCAAUGGCCAACCAGAUUACAACUUCUGUGUCACAGUUGAUGAUUCUACCAUGGCCAUUUCACAUGUUAUAAGGGCAGAAGAGCAUUUGCCAAAUACUUUAAGGCAGGCAUUGAUAUAUAAAUUAUAAAGUAAUUAUUUUUCUUUAAUUUUCUGCCUGAUUCCCCUACUAUCAGGGUUGCAACUUGGGCGGGCUCGGGUUGGGUUCUUGUCAAAUUUUGAAUGGACUUGGCCUGAAGGCCCAAGUCCGAAACCAUGUAAAAUGCUAAUUUGGGCCAACCCGAGUUGCACCCCUACCUACUAUUAGUGGCUCUUAUCUUUCAGUUAAUGCAGGGAAAUUGGUAAUCAAAUGUUUUAUCAUUUUAGAGGCUCUAAGAUUUCCCAUGCAUCACUUUGUGCAUGUUUCUCUAAUUCUCGCUCCUGAUAAAAGAAAACCAUCGAAACAUCAUGGUACAACUUCAGUGUUAAUAAAUGUACUCAGUCUGUUAACUCCUCAAUAACAUAUGUAUCAUUUUGACAGUUCAGGGAGGAGUAUCUGCCUCGGGCCAUGGUGAACUACCUAGACUCCUGGGUUGGGUGUUGGUACUGAAAAUGAAUUUUUUACCCUUGAACAGCUUGGAUAAUCAGUGGACUGCUCAUUGGAGGAGGUAGGGAAGGAAGGCGCAUAUAAGUAAAAAGGUUAAACUAACCCUUCUUUUUCCAUAAUUACUGUUUAUAUAAAGUGGGACCAGUGCUAACAUCCCUUUGAGAGCAGGAAGAUUAGCAUUCCCUCUGAUAAAUGUAGCAUGUGUCAGGAAACAGGUUCCAAGUGUUUGAUCUGUAUUUGGUUCAUUGACUGCACAAAUGAGGUUGCUUCUAUACAGCAUAGAUAUUAUUCCUCUGCUGUGUUAUUGGACCUUGGCAGCAAAGAAAUGUUUAAUUUAUUAGGUUUCUGGGACAGUGAUUUUCCACUAUCUAUUUCCUAGAAAUUAAAGGUUGAUGAAUGGUCAACAUUUAAGAAUUCUUCCAUCAGAAUAGUCGACGAAGCUUUUAGGUGAAUGCUGGAAGAGUGCUGGUAUCCUCACUGAGUCAGGACUCUUCAUAAACUUAAGCAUUUUUUUUUCUUUUCAUAAGUGUUAGGAUCACCUUUCCAAUUUUUGUUGAGUUGUAGUUAGACCUGUUCAUGGGCCGGGCUGG